RNAcentral lists this ribosomal RNA (490 nucleotides) under uncultured bacterium. RNAcentral describes it as "bacterial SSU rRNA". It matches the Rfam family "Bacterial small subunit ribosomal RNA", at positions 28 to 507 of the family's 1533-position model. The record is from RNAcentral.
GAUGAACGCUAGCUACAGGCUUAACACAUGCAAGUCGCGGGGCAGCAUUUCCUUAGCUUGCUAAGGAAGAUGGCGACCGGCGCACGGGUGAGUAACGCGUAUCGAACCUGCCCCAUACCCGGGGAUAGCCUUGCGAAAGUAAGAUUAAUACCCGAUGGUUUCCUUUUAUCUCCUGAUAGAGGGAAUAAAGAAUUUCGGUAUGGGAUGGCGAUGCGUCCGAUUAGCUAGUUGGCGGGGUAACGGCCCACCAAGGCGACGAUCGGUAGGGGUUCUGAGAGGAAGGUCCCCCACAUUGGAACUGAGACACGGUCCAAACUCCUACGGGAGGCAGCAGUGAGGAAUAUUGGUCAAAUGGGCGAAAGCCUGAACCAGCCAAGUAGCGUGCAGGAUGACGGCCCUAUGGGUUGUAAACUGCUUUUAGGCGGGGGUAAAGUGGCGGACGUGUUCCGCCUUUGCAAGUACCGCAGAAAAAGGACCGGCUAAUUCCGUG